UAGGGAAUCUUCCGCAAUGGGCGAAAGCCUGACGGAGCAACGCCGCGUGAGUGAUGAAGGUCUUCGGAUCGUAAAACUCUGUUAUUAGGGAAGAACAUAUGUGUAAGUAACUGUGCACAUCUUGACGGUACCUAAUCAGAAAGCCACGGCUAACUACGUGCCAGCAGCCGCGGUAAUACGUAGGUGGCAAGCGUUAUCCGGAAUUAUUGGGCGUAAAGCGCGCGUAGGCGGUUUUUUAAGUCUGAUGUGAAAGCCCACGGCUCAACCGUAGAGGGUCAUUGGAAACUGGAAAACUUGAGUGCAGAAGAGGAAAGUGGAAUUCCAUGUGUAGCGGUGAAAUGCGCAGAGAUAUGGAGGAACACCAGUGGCGAAGGCGACUUUCUGGUCUGUAACUGACGCUGAUGUGCGAAAGCGUGGGGAUCAAACAGGAUUAGAUACCCUGGUAGUCCACGCCGUAAACGAUGAGUGCUAAGUGUUAGGGGGUUUCCGCCCCUUAGUGCUGCAGCUAACGCAUUAAGCACUCCGCCUGGGGAGUACGACCGCAAGGUUG
Molecule: ribosomal RNA, 550 nt
Filed under: uncultured bacterium
Lineage: Bacteria
Description: bacterial SSU rRNA
Rfam family: Bacterial small subunit ribosomal RNA
Source: RNAcentral